This 28-nucleotide non-coding RNA is filed under the name Bombyx mori (domestic silkworm). The record is from RNAcentral. RNAcentral also lists the same sequence under 12 other names. Lineage: Eukaryota; Metazoa; Arthropoda; Insecta; Lepidoptera; Bombycidae.
GCCCGGCUAGCUCAGUCGGUAGAGCAUG